RNAcentral lists this transfer RNA (83 nucleotides) under Pseudomonadota bacterium. RNAcentral's name for it is "tRNA-Leu". It matches the Rfam family "tRNA". From Rfam's summary of the family: Transfer RNA (tRNA) molecules are approximately 80 nucleotides in length. Their secondary structure includes four short double-helical elements and three loops (D, anti-codon, and T loops). Further hydrogen bonds mediate the characteristic L-shaped molecular structure. tRNAs have two regions of fundamental functional importance: the anti-codon, which is responsible for specific mRNA codon recognition, and the 3' end, to which the tRNAs corresponding amino acid is attached (by aminoacyl-tRNA synthetases). tRNAs cope with the degeneracy of the genetic code in two manners: having more than one tRNA (with a specific anti-codon) for a particular amino acid; and 'wobble' base-pairing, i.e. permitting non-standard base-pairing at the 3rd anti-codon position. RNAcentral also lists the same sequence under 3 other names. Lineage: Bacteria; Pseudomonadati; Pseudomonadota. The record is from RNAcentral.
GCCUCGGUGGUGGAAUUGGCAUACACAGCAGGUUGAGGGCCUGUGUCCGUACGGACGUGAGAGUUCGAGUCUCUCCCGAGGCA